UACGUAGGGGGCGAGCGUUGUCCGAAGUUACUGGGCGUAAAGCGCGUGUAGGCGGGUUUUUAAGUGAGGGGUGAAAGGUUCGGGCUCAACCCGGACACUGCCUUUCAUACUGGAGACCUUGAGUGCAGAAGAGGCGAGUGGAAUGGUCGGUGUAGCGGUGAAAUGCGUAGAUAUCGAUCGGAACACCCAUGGCGAAGGCAGCUCGCUGGUCUGUGACUGACGCUGAGACGCGAAAGCGUGGGGAGCAAACAGG
RNAcentral lists this ribosomal RNA (253 nucleotides) under uncultured bacterium. RNAcentral's name for it is "partial 16S ribosomal RNA". It matches the Rfam family "Bacterial small subunit ribosomal RNA", at positions 524 to 776 of the family's 1533-position model. The record is from RNAcentral.